GAGGGUACAGCUCAGUGGUAGAGUGCAUGCCUAGUAUGCACAAGGUCCUGGGUUCAAACCCCAGUACCUCCA
This 72-nucleotide transfer RNA is filed under the name Camelus bactrianus (Bactrian camel). It matches the Rfam family "tRNA". Rfam says of the family: Transfer RNA (tRNA) molecules are approximately 80 nucleotides in length. Their secondary structure includes four short double-helical elements and three loops (D, anti-codon, and T loops). The record is from Rfam by way of RNAcentral. Lineage: Eukaryota; Metazoa; Chordata; Mammalia; Artiodactyla; Camelidae. RNAcentral also lists the same sequence under 3 other names.